Long non-coding RNA from Sapajus apella (tufted capuchin), 1256 nucleotides. RefSeq lists it as uncharacterized. The record is from RefSeq and is a predicted model, not a curated record. NCBI's taxonomy places the organism in Eukaryota, Metazoa, Chordata, Mammalia, Primates, Cebidae. The transcript has 2 exons.
CUUGACCUCCCAAAGUGCUGGGAUUACACGCGUGAGCCACUGCACUGGACUGGAGUUCCUUUUUGAAGGAGUUUGUGAGGGAGGGGCAGGAGCACACCCCAGCUAGAGGGAAUGGCAUGGGCAGGAGAGCAGAGGGCAGUUGGUGGCUUAGUCCUGGUAUGUGAUGUGCGUGGCAGGAGUGGGGCAGGGGGAGUCGGGGGGACAGCCAGGCCAAGUGAGGGCUCUUUGGCCCUCAGGCCCCACUGGCUUCCUGCUCUCUGCAGUUCCCUCCAAAGCCCCUCUCCUUGGGGCAUCUGAGGAGCCAGUUAGGGUUUGGGUAGGGGUCACCAGGGGACUCACAGCCCAGAGCACCCCACGUUGGUGCUCCACAAUCUGUGCUCUCCUGUCCCCUGAGCACCUGCCCUGACCCUUGCCCUUGGCUGGAGGCGGGGGCAGUGGGGCUCAGCGCUGCGUUCCUGGAGGCCUGGGGACAGGGUCGGGAGAGUCACAUCAAGGGAGCUGGCAACUUCUCCCUUCUGGGCCUCCCUCGCUUUUUCUAGACAAUCAUGGGGUGGGAGCCAGAGACGGCUGAAGCCCCUUCUGGACUGGACUCCCCAUUUCAGACAAAUGACUUGGCUCCCCAAAUGGGUUCUGCUUCCCAAGAAGCAGAGCCUGAAACAAGGAUCUGAUUGCACAGAGUUCAUUUGGGAGGGAGAACGCAGGGUGCCUAGGAGCAGGUGCCACCAUCGGCAGCUGGGGCCCAGGCCUCCAGGGAGUCCCGGGACACGUGUAACACGUGUCUUCAGAAUCUUCCUGUCUGAGGGAGAGGAGGUUGGAGUCUUCAGCCCCCAACUCCUGUCUUUUGUUGAGGGUUGCUCUGGGGGGCAUGAACUUCCCAGGGUUUCUGGCCAGCUCCACCUUGGGGGCAGCCUCCUCCUGCAGCCAGGAAGGUAUUCAAGCAGAGAGUGGCAGGGGCUCGCCUCGGCAAGAGCGCAGCUGUGCGUAGGGAACAGUGCUUCCAAAUGGAAGCUGUCAUGGAGAGGGCGCUCCUCACACACGGAGACCUGCAGGGGCACCGGUGGCACAUCCUGGGUCACACCACCAGUGAGCAACAGGCCACACUGAGAAGCUGGGUCCCCUGACUCGUCAGCAGGGCUCCUCCUGCCCUGGUGUUUCUCUUCAUCUCUCCCGCGUGUCGUCUGGGUCCGCAUCUGCCGUGUUCAUCCCCCUCACGUGGCUUAGUAAUAGCACAUUGGCAGCACAUAUGGAUGUCUUGG